AAUGAUGUUUUAAAUUAUUUUUAAUUGCAGUAAAAUAUACAUAAAAUUUACCAUCUUAGCCAUUUUAAGUGUAAAGGGCAGUAGUGUUAAGUGCGUUCACAUGGUUGCCACUCCAGAGUUUUUAUUUGUGGUUUUUUCAUGUACAGAACCUGAGGCACACGGAUCCAGGGAAUCUCAAAGGAAAAGCAGAGACCUGGAGAAAGAUUUUGCUCAGAGAAAUACAGGAAGAAUUCCAAGGCGGUUCAGCCACCAUCUGCCAAAGGACUGCCUCCAGUCCACUCAAAUGCUUGGACAGAGUGGGCUGCUCUCAUUUCCCAGGACUCAGGUCAGCAAACCAUUGGUGAUUCGGUCAUGAUGCAGUGCAGGCAUGGCUGCUUUGGAAGGAGCUUAUGUGUUGCUGAGCACUUGGGGUUCGAAUCCAGACUGCACCAUCGACCUGACAAGGUGACCGUAGGCAAGUUAUUGAACCUGCCUGAGCUUCCAUCUCAGUGAGUCAAGAUGCCAAGCAUGCGGCCUCAGGGCUGAGGGCCAGGAGCAGCCGCCCAGCAGGGCUGUCGGGGACUGGCCUCCUCCUCUCAUCAUCAAAGGGGAAGCUUGCCCUGGGGCUCUUUCUAACACCUCCUCCCCCAGCCUGCAGCCAAGUCUGGCUGCAUCCUCGCUUCAGCCUGUAAACAAAGAGCUCAGGUAUUUAUGCCCUCAGGCCCCUCUCUGGCCUUCUCCUCUCCUCCCAGAGGGAUGGGGGACCCAGACUGCUCCCCUCCCCUCUGGAACCGAGGGCUCUAGGGUGUCUACAGCUUCUGCCACCUCUGAGAAGGGAAGUCCUGGGAAGGCCGGCCUCUC
Non-coding RNA from Manis javanica (Malayan pangolin), 840 nucleotides. The record is from RefSeq and is a predicted model, not a curated record. Lineage: Eukaryota; Metazoa; Chordata; Mammalia; Pholidota; Manidae.